AUCUGAUCCUUUCUCUAACUGAUUUCUAAAUUAGGUACCCUAAACCCCUAACUAUGGUUCAUUCCCAAACGUUUAUAAGUCACCUACAAAUUUUAACGUCUUAUUCAACUAUCAAACUUAACGAAUUUACAAAUUUUUCACCUUCUUCCCCACUACUAUCCCUAAAUAAAUGAUAAAAAAUUAAAAUAAAUAAAUAAACGAGUGUUUCUCCCUCCACCACCCCAAGUGUUUCUACAUCUCUCCAUUAUUUUCUUUUAUUCCAAACAUACUCUACACAUCCCCACUAUUUUCUUUUAUUCCCAAAGUACCCUACACCUCCCCACUAUCCUCAAUUUGUCUUUCUCUCUUUACAUUAGAGCAUUUAUAUGGCUUAGA
Molecule: long non-coding RNA, 375 nt
Filed under: Vigna radiata
Lineage: Eukaryota; Viridiplantae; Streptophyta; Magnoliopsida; Fabales; Fabaceae
Description: long non-coding RNA (VRAD_LNC016535)
Source: RNAcentral